GACCCAUUAGCUCAGUUGGCAGAGCACCUGACUUUUAAUCAGGGUGUCCCGCGUUCGAGUCGCGGAUGGGUCA
Molecule: transfer RNA, 73 nt
Filed under: Tindallia magadiensis
Lineage: Bacteria; Bacillati; Bacillota; Clostridia; Peptostreptococcales; Tindalliaceae
Also listed under: 3 other names
Description: tRNA_Lys_TTT
Rfam family: tRNA
About the family: Transfer RNA (tRNA) molecules are approximately 80 nucleotides in length. Their secondary structure includes four short double-helical elements and three loops (D, anti-codon, and T loops).
Source: RNAcentral